Long non-coding RNA from Mesocricetus auratus (golden hamster), 971 nucleotides. RefSeq lists it as uncharacterized. The transcript is spliced from 2 exons. The record is from RefSeq and is a predicted model, not a curated record. NCBI's taxonomy places the organism in Eukaryota, Metazoa, Chordata, Mammalia, Rodentia, Cricetidae.
AGAUGUAACGCCAUGGGGUAGGAGCCCGGAACUAUUCUCCGUCUAUAUUUGUCCCAGCAGAUUUCCAAUCAACUAAAGACUACAAACUAUUCCAGACACACCAGCCUCAGGUGGCCCUUUGAAACUAGCAAGCCCUGGACCAGCUGAAAGCUAAUGUAAACCAGAUGCUUCUGACAAAAUUUCCUACCAGCUUGAGCCCCAGCUUCAGACUAGCAUUCCUGACUGCUCCAAAGCUACCCGUCCAUCACUAGUUCCAGGUGGUCCACAGAACCUGGAUAGCAAGCCAGAUGUGACUUCUCCCUUCCUGGUCUUUGACUGGCAUUCCAGCCUUCGUGGGCCCUGACAACAAUGACAUACUUCAGCUGAGAAGCAGUUACAGAAGAGACUGUGUUGCUCCUUACCAUUAACAAAAGGCUAGGAAGUUAGAUCCAAAGAAACUUCUUCCCUUCUACCAAAGAAGCCCUUUUCCUAUCACUGUCAAAAAUGUCAAAUAGCUGCCUAUGGUGCCUAUUAGCACACCAGAACAUGCUGGCCUGCAGGCUCCUUCAGUAUUACAAAUACCUGUUAAAAUCAGAGAGCUAAAAAAAGGAUUACUCAAGAUGGGGGUUAUCCAUCUUGGCAACCAACAGCCAUUCUCUCUGACUUCAGUUUCUGGAAGGUAAGUUCCCAGUAACCUUGACUCAGUGAUUCCCACCCAAAAAUGUACAGUCGAGACUCUCUACUUGUUACGAUGCGGCUAAAUGCCUUUUUCGGCUUCUAUAACUUGCUUAUGUAGACACCCAAAGAUUGUUUGGGGUCACUUAACUUGGCAGAACAGACCAGUUUUUGCUUGCUUAAAUACAUAUUGAAAGUCUUCUUGUGAUUUUACCCUUUACAAAUCCUUCCCUUGUUUCCCUUCUCAUGGCAAUCUCAAACUUGGCUCAGAGAUUGUUCAUCCUGCUAGAAGCUAAUAAAUACAUCUUUAAUUAUAA